RNAcentral lists this ribosomal RNA (253 nucleotides) under uncultured bacterium. RNAcentral's name for it is "partial 16S ribosomal RNA". It matches the Rfam family "Bacterial small subunit ribosomal RNA", at positions 524 to 776 of the family's 1533-position model. The record is from RNAcentral.
UACGGAGGGGACUAGCGUUGUUCGGAAUUACUGGGCGUAAAGCGCACGUAGGCGGCUUUGUAAGUCAGGGGUGAAAUCCCUCGGCUCAACUGAGGAACUGCCUUUGAAACUGUCGGGCUUGAGGCCGGGAGGGGGUAGCGGAAUUCCCAGUGUAGCGGUGAAAUGCGUAGAUAUUGGGAGGAACACCGGUGGCGAAGGCGGCUACCUGGACCGGUUCUGACGCUGAUGCGCGAAAGCGUGGGUAGCAAACAGG